CAGGGAUCUGGAUAUGGAGAGAUGUUUACUCAUCUUGAGAAUAAAAUAAAACUUCUAGAAUUAGAAUUUAUGCAGAACCUCUAUUCUUCCUACAAACAAGAUUCCAAAUAGACAUUAAAUUCAUCUGGUUGUACAGCCAAUGUCAGUAACAACGGGCUCCUGCCCCUUAACCCCAGGAACUCUGCUCUCUGAAGCUUCAGCCUGUUUGGAUUUCUAAGCUGGUAUUCUAACAGAAGAUGAUUAAGGAGAUCCCUUCAACCAUCGAAAAAUACAUCUGAUAGCACUACACAAGAAGCUCUGGCUUUGGACGAGAUUACCGAAGCGUGGACUAUGAAUGGAGGAGAACAAAGGCGGAGGCAUCAUCAUUAAUCAAGGGUUUGCCUCCAUGAGGUUGAGGGUGCCGAGAGACUUUAUCAUUAGCAGCGUCUGUGCCUCUGCUGGACUCCAGGUUCGCAAUCUCCUUCAUCUGCACAAGGCGAACAUCUAG
RNAcentral lists this long non-coding RNA (487 nucleotides) under Fukomys damarensis (Damara mole-rat). RNAcentral describes it as "lncRNA (ENSFDAG00000025512.1)". Lineage: Eukaryota; Metazoa; Chordata; Mammalia; Rodentia; Bathyergidae. The record is from RNAcentral.